CAUCGUGAGGUGGAAUCUGAAAGAAAGUGCAGGCAAACCUCUGGCCUGAGGCAUACGAAUCGCAUGAAGCAGUCUGAAGCAUGGCAAGUGUGCUGAACAGCACAAACCCAAUAGCUUGGCGGGAAGAAACUGAGGAAUGCAAAUACGGCAGAUGUAUGGAGGGAAGGAUG
This 170-nucleotide non-coding RNA is filed under the name Stecheria intestinalis. Lineage: Bacteria; Bacillati; Bacillota; Erysipelotrichia; Erysipelotrichales; Erysipelotrichaceae. The record is from RNAcentral.